Molecule: ribosomal RNA, 253 nt
Filed under: uncultured bacterium
Lineage: Bacteria
Description: partial 16S ribosomal RNA
Rfam family: Bacterial small subunit ribosomal RNA
Source: RNAcentral
UACGGGGGGAGCAAGCGUUGUUCGGAUUUACUGGGCGUAAAGGGCGCGUAGGCGGCGUGACAAGUCACUUGUGAAAUCUCCGGGCUUAACCCGGAGCGGCCAAGUGAUACUGUCGUGCUAGAGUGCGGAAGGGGCUACUGGAAUUCUCGGUGUAGCGGUGAAAUGCGUAGAUAUCGUAAGGAAGACCAGUGGCGAAGGCGGCUCACUGGCCCGGUACUGACGCUGAGGUGCGAAAGCGUGGGGAGCAAACAGG